Molecule: non-coding RNA, 202 nt
Organism: Oryza barthii
Lineage: Eukaryota; Viridiplantae; Streptophyta; Magnoliopsida; Poales; Poaceae
Source: Rfam
GUUAUGAGCUACUCCCUUCCUCGUUUAACGUUUGAUCGUUCGUCUUAUUUAAAAAUUUUUAUAAUUAGUAUUUUUAUUGCUAUUAGAUGAUAAAACAUGAAUAGCACUUUAUGUGUGACUAAUUUUUUUAUUUUUUUCACAAAUUUUUCAAAUAAGACGAACGGUCAAACAUUGAACACGAAUAUCCACGGCUGCACUUAUU